This 492-nucleotide ribosomal RNA is filed under the name uncultured bacterium. RNAcentral describes it as "partial 16S ribosomal RNA". It matches the Rfam family "Bacterial small subunit ribosomal RNA", at positions 29 to 507 of the family's 1533-position model. The record is from RNAcentral.
AGUGAACGCUGGCGGUAGGCCUAACACAUGCAAGUCGAACGGCAGCACAGUAAGAGCUCGCUCUUACGGGUGGCGAGUGGCGGACGGGUGAGGAAUACAUCGGAAUCUACUUUUUCGUGGGGGAUAACGUAGGGAAACUUACGCUAAUACCGCAUACGACCUACGGGUGAAAGCAGGGGAUCUUCGGACCUUGCGCGAUUGAAUGAGCCGAUGUCGGAUUAGCUAGUUGGCAGGGUAAAGGCCCACCAAGGCGACGAUCCGUAGCUGGUCUGAGAGGAUGAUCAGCCACACUGGAACUGAGACACGGUCCAGACUCCUACGGGAGGCAGCAGUGGGGAAUAUUGGGCAAUGGGCGCAAGCCUGAUCCAGCCAUGCCGCGUGGGUGAAGAAGGCCUUCGGGUUGUAAAACCCUUUUGUUAGGAAAGAAAAGCAGCAGGUUAAUACCCCGCUGUUCUGACGGUACCCAAAGAAUAAGCACCGGCUAACUUCGUG